CCCGUAUGUGUUUGUCCAUCAGCUGUGCGUGCAGAGCGUUACUCGAAUGCAUGAAACAGGAAGCCCACAGGACACUCCCCCAGCACACCCCGCUUCCUCUGCACUCCUGGAAGGAAGACCUGUUCUUGUUUCUUAUGUACUCUCAGGAUCUGGCACAGAACCUGACAAAGGGCCUUAACCACAGUUGUUUCCGACUGGUCCACUAGAGAAGCCUUGGUAUGAGUCAAGAGAGUGGGAUGUCUUCAUCAGCCUGUCAGUCAUGGAAAGAGAUUCCCAUGCAUCUUCUUCAGGUGGGCAGCUGGUCAUGUUUCUGGGCCCACCAGCUCUGAGGGUCACACUAUCUAGGGCCCGCUGAGCUGCUUUAGAAGAGCUUGGCACUGCAGGACAUAGGGCCAGGUACCCUGUUUCUUGAGGGCCAGAAAGCCCCUUCAGAGCCUUUCUCAUCUGCACACUUUCAGCAGACUCUCUGGAGCAGCCCAGCUUCCCAGAACUGAGACCCCCAAACCAAGAAGAGGAUGCACCUUGGACCUGGGUAAAAGGUCCUUUCCAAGCUACUGCUCGAAGAGGCCCAGGAGAAAUCAAAAGAUCAGGAACUCCUUUUGCGAUUGUGUAUGAUCCACCUUCAGUAUGGACGGUUGUUCUCCCGGCAGGUACUUCCCCUUAGCUUUUCUUCUUGGCUAAGUUCCUUUGCAAUUUAUUGUAGAACUUCUGCCGGCCAGAUGUUUCCCCCUAGAGUACACCUCAAUGUCAGUAGUCUACUCUUGUGGAUUCGAUAAUUCGCUAUGAUUCUGAACAGGAUUUGUAGGAUCGCUCUACUAUUAUAAGGGACAGAAAACCCUAUACCGAAAAGGGCAAUGCACAUAGCCUUUUUUCUGUUUUUGAAACAUGUUCUUUUAUGAUUGGAAGUGAAAGGACAAGAAAAGAAAAGUUGAUGCUGAAAUCAUUAGGAAACAGGUUUAGUCACUGAGGCUAAAAUAUAAAAGCAUAGAAUGAAAACCUCUUACAACCCUGGUGGAGUCUUACAUAAAAACUAAAGGUCUUUCAAUAAAAAUAGCUCAAAUUUCUGCUAUGAUGACAUGUAUAAUGAUGAUAUGGAUGAUGAAGACUAGGAAGAGGAAUAUGCCAACUAUGAGAUGUGGUUUGAGUGUCUGACCAAGUGCCAUGCAUGCAUUGAUUAGUGACUGAAAUAUUUAUACUGGAAUGUUCAGCAGUUUUAUGACAUUUGGCAUUUUGGCUUGAUUGGUAUCAAUUUGUUCAAGCUGGGUCAAGAAGGACUCUGGAGUCACAUGCAGGGUCAUCUGGAAACUAUGCAAUGAUCAAUUUUAGAGGCAUCAGAUACAGCCAAGAAAGGAGGUGGAGAGCAAGUAUGUCAUGGACUUAACCAUCCAUGCAACUUAAACUGUGGUUUGUUUGUGUCUCUUCUCAUUCUGCGAGGGGUUGAGUCAUCUCAGCUGUUGUGUUUUGUGUAGGGUUAUUCAUAAA
This 1482-nucleotide long non-coding RNA is filed under the name Callithrix jacchus (white-tufted-ear marmoset). Its description in RNAcentral is "lncRNA (ENSCJAG00000064912.2)". The record is from RNAcentral. Lineage: Eukaryota; Metazoa; Chordata; Mammalia; Primates; Cebidae.